RNAcentral lists this ribosomal RNA (254 nucleotides) under uncultured bacterium. RNAcentral describes it as "partial 16S ribosomal RNA". It matches the Rfam family "Bacterial small subunit ribosomal RNA", at positions 524 to 776 of the family's 1533-position model. The record is from RNAcentral.
UACGUAGGGUGCGAGCGUUGUCCGGAAUUAUUGGGCGUAAAGAGCUCGUAGGCGGUCUGUCGCGUCGAUCGUGAAAACUUGGGGCUUAACCCUGAGCUUGCGGUCGAUACGGGCAUGACUGGAGUUCGGCAGGGGAGACUGGAAUUCCUGGUGUAGCGGUGAAAUGCGCAGAUAUCAGGAGGAACACCGGUGGCGAAGGCGGCUCUCUGGGACGGUACUGACGCUGAGACGCGAAAGCGUGGGGAGCGAACAGG